CUACGGGGCGCAGCAGUGAGGAAUUUUGCGCAAUGGGGGAAACCCUGACGCAGCAACGCCGCGUGAGAGAAGAAGGCCUUCGGGUCGUAAAGCUCUGUCAAGUGGGAAAAAAAUUCUUUGAUGAACAGUCAAAGGACUUGAUGGUACCACUGGAGGAAGCACCGGCUAACUCCGUGCCAGCAGCCGCGGUAAUACGGAGGGUGCAAGCGUUGUUCGGAAUUACUGGGCGUAAAGAGCGUGUGGGCGGUUUGACAAGUCAGAUGUGAAAGCCCCGGGCUCAACCCGGGAAGUGCAUUUGAAACUGUUUCACUAGAGUAUGGGAGAGGAGAUUGGAAUUCCUGGUGUAGAGGUGAAAUUCGUAGAUAUCAGGAGGAACACCGGUGGCGAAGGCGAUUCUCUGGACCAAUACUGACGCUGAGACGCGAAAGCGUGGGGAGCAAACAGGAUUAGAUACCCGUGUAGUC
Molecule: ribosomal RNA, 464 nt
Filed under: uncultured bacterium
Lineage: Bacteria
Description: partial 16S ribosomal RNA
Rfam family: Bacterial small subunit ribosomal RNA
Source: RNAcentral